RNAcentral lists this ribosomal RNA (347 nucleotides) under uncultured bacterium. Its description in RNAcentral is "partial 16S ribosomal RNA". It matches the Rfam family "Bacterial small subunit ribosomal RNA", at positions 331 to 693 of the family's 1533-position model. The record is from RNAcentral.
CCAGACUCCUACGGGAGGCAGCAGUGGGGAAUAUUGGGCAAUGGGCACAAGCCUGACCCAGCAACGCCGCGUGAAGGAAGAAGGCUUUCGGGUUGUAAACUUCUUUUGACAGGGAAGAGUAGAAGACGGUACCUGUCGAAUAAGCCACGGCUAACUACGUGCCAGCAGCCGCGGUAAUACGUAGGUGGCAAGCGUUGUCCGGAUUUACUGGGUGUAAAGGGAGCGUAGGCGGCCUGCCAAGUCUGAUGUGAAAUACCGGGGCUCAACCCCGGGGCUGCAUUGGAAACUGGCAGGCUGGAGUGCAGGAGAGGUAAGUGGAAUUCCUAGGGGAGCGGUGAAAUGCGUAG